Molecule: long non-coding RNA, 3342 nt
Organism: Gallus gallus (chicken)
Lineage: Eukaryota; Metazoa; Chordata; Aves; Galliformes; Phasianidae
Exons: 2
Source: RefSeq, a predicted model, not a curated record
AGCAAUGGGCUGUAGUUACAAAAGCAAUGUCUUCUGCCCCACGCGUAAAAGCAAGACCAGCCAAGAGAUGCUUUCUUGGUCUGUUUAUGAAGUUUCACCACCUGCAGAUCCUGCCUCCUCCUCUCAGCUGGGCUGAAGCCAUCCAGGGGCUCCUCACACGCUGUUUGCAUGAUGAUGCACCCCUCUCUGACCACAAAGACCAACUGAGUGCCAGGUCAGCCAUGAGCCACAGUGGUGUACCACUAUGCCUUCAGAAGGUGAUGACACAAAAGAUAGGCAAACACAUUGCCACUGCUGUUCACUAAUUACCAGGAAUGAGGACCAGCUGAAACUGGAGGAAAGCUAACGUAAAAGGAAGGAGAAAUUUAGAUAUGCAUCCAAAGAGACUGAGACCAAAGCCAGAGUGUUAUUGUCUGGCCAAUGCUCAUGGUUGAGGGCCAGGUUAUGAUUCAAAAAAUCAAUGAGCCUUGAGCAAAUUGCAUCUAAAAGAAAUCAAGGUGUGCAGUCAUGGCCAUGGGCCUCUGCUUCUGCAUUCUAAAAGCACUUGGGUACCCUGAUGGAGGAUGCACGUCACCCACAGGUCCUGGGCCACAACUAUAAGGCUCAGGCCGGCAUCUUAGACACUCUAGGGGAGGGGUUGUCCUCUGCUGAUGUCCAGAAAACCCACAGUGCCAUAAGCCUUCCUAGUCUGUGAAUAUGAAUACUUGUGGCAGGAUCUUCUGGGGUUCGGGAUGUUCAACUCUUCAUGACCAUAAAUAAUGACUAAUGGAGGAGGGAAAUGGGAAGGGUGUGAGCAAGGAGAAAAGUUAAGCAGUGAAAUAUGACAGUCUUUCUGGACUGCCAAGGAAAUGGGCAAGGAAACACCUCCAUUGGUGCUUUAACUGAAAAUAAUUUAGGUAACAGGAGCAAGUAAGUCUAUCCUUUAGAGAUUUCUCACACAGCUAUCAGUUGGAAAAAUAGGAACUUUCAAGGAGGAGCAGUUCAGAAGUUCUUGGUAUGAUGGCUUAUCAGCUUUGCUGCACUGGGGAAUCUAUCAGAGCCAGGAGAGCAAAAUGGAAACCCCCCAUCUGAUGAGGAAGUAUUCCAGAAAGUGAAGGAAUGGAGGUCAUCAUCCAGAGCAAGCGUGGUCAAGGUUUAGGUGUACACCACAUCACUUUGGUGAAAGUUUGAGAAGGCAGUGGUGUUAUCUUAAAGUGAUUUCCAUUGCAGGGGAGUAAUGGGCAGAGUUAUGUAGAUGAAUUUGAAAAUCAUUUUUAGAAGACUAAGGAUUCACCACUGAACAUAAGAAAUGAAUGCGUACCUUAGCCUGAAUUGCUCUGAUUGGCAUCACAGGGAACCAAAUGCUCUCAAGAGCAGUGGGCAGUGAAAAACUCCUGCAUAGAUGACCCCAGAGUCCCAGGGCAGCAUUCAGCUGAUACAGGUGGUUCAGAGAGAGUUUCUGAAGACAAGGCCACUGAAGUCCAGGAGAAACCAACAGCUGUGGGCCUCUGUAGGCUGGUGUGAGCUUGGCUACUGCGUGAGUCAAUACAUAUUUGGAUCUCAGGCUUGUAUGUCUGGCCAUCAGAAAUGACCUUCAUCCCAGUAUUUCCAACCUAAAUUGUACCUCCAGGAGGAAAUCUCAUGUUUUUAAGAUACAGCAGAAUUAAAUUAAAUCCAGGACAGCUGUUUCUGUCUGUCGAGGUCAAGCAGAUCUGUAUAAGGAUUUUCAUUCUAACUGUCCUACAUGGACAAUUCCGUUGGAAUGACCUCUCUAAAUUGUACUUUUUUUUUCCACUGCUGUAACUGGGAGGUCUCAGAACAGUAUAACUUGCAUUUUACCCCUGCAGGGUGUUUGCUUUACUAUUUUGAUUACUUGGCUGAUAAGAAAAUUACAGAAAUCUAAACAGUGAGGAGAACAAGGAUGAGGCCGCCCGUUGCUUUGAUAGUGUGGCCUUAACUGCAGUCAGAGGCAUCUACCCCCCACAAAGAGGAGCUCUGCUGAGUUUCCACAUGUCCACACAAGGAUGAGGUAACCAUCUGCUUCAGCUGCUCCAAAGCAAGAUGGCUUUGCCUGGAACAUUUAAUCAGUCACAUUUGAAGAGGGGUCACUCACUUGAAAAGCUUUUGAUGAACCUGUAAUAUAAGCCAACAAAGAAGCAAGCAUUUUUAAAUUAUUUGGAGCAGCAAGCAAGAUCCCAGUUUCAUAGCAACAACUCAGAUGAAGAACAUCUAUGGUCUCUUGGAAGAAGUUGUGCAGCUCAGAAAUACCACGACUAUCACUUUCUUCUGAUUAGAUAGAUUAUCUUAACAAAAAAUGUUAAUAUUACAACAUCCAUAUCAAUUGAAUAUGGUUUUCUAUUCUCUGCCCUGAUAGAUGAUGGUAUGUUCCCCAAAAGCCAGCCCAAAGUUAAGAUCUGUGCCUUCUGUUGUCUUUGAAACUGUUCAUUUCUGAAGAGCAGGAGAUACAAAUCCUCAAAUUCAACUUGAUUCAGAAUCCCAUGGUUUACAUAAAUAACACAAAGCCUGGACUUGUCCUUGCUGGAGGGGCUACCUAAGGGGUUUCCUUGGAUGUGUGUAGUCCCACCUGGCGCAGCUCAUGGAACAGAGGGAAAAUGGCAAGCAGUGAUAGUGGAGGUGGACAGGACACACAUGCUGGUAGACAUCAGUGUGAGAAGGGGAGCAGAAAAAGGACAUUAUCACUAGAAGAGAAUAGUGAGGGAGAAGGAGUGAGACAACAAGACUGUACAGGAGUACAGAGAUGGAAUAAAGCAGUGAGGAGGAUCCGGUUGCACCUCAGAAUAGAAGAGCAGCUAUCUCCACCAAAAGCAAAGGACGAUAAAAAGAUAUGAGAAGAUAAAGAAGGUAAGAACUAGUUGAUAAAUGUGUGCUUAUGAGAAAGGUUUUGACAUGCAGAAUCACUGACAGAUUUGUGGAAAGAUUACAGACUGUCUUGUACUACUAUCAAGUAGUACUAGCAUUUGAAAUGCAAGUAUUUCAGCUAAAAGAGGAGCUGCAAAGGUUGAGAGCAAGUGCACACUCCAUGUUGAGGAUAGGUGAUAAAAUUAGAAGUAACAGAAGAUAGGCAGUAAUGACUAGCAACAGGAUGGUUGUAAAAAAAAGAAAUCGGUAUUGCUAAGGUGAAAAAUAAUCUAGGAAGAAAAACAAAAAGGUUUGCUAAUCUGACUAAGGAAAUCUAGGGAUAAUAUAAGAUCCUCAGGAGCCAGACAACAGCAUGGAGGAAUUUGUCUUUCCCGGGUAAGGCAUAAAGCCUGCUAUAGCAGAGCCAUGGUGAAACAGCAAUACAUUGUGGAUAUUGAGGGGCACAUGCUCAUAAUAAAGAUAUGAAUAAAGGCAUAUCACUGA